AUUAAGACAUUGGAAAUGGAAAUGCUAUGUUUAUCCACAGGACAUGUUCAGCACUGCCAACAGCUGUGCAACUUUUCCCAAACAAUGUUUUUCAAAGAUGACUUGAAAGGACCAUAAUUAGGGGCAGGAGAAUAGUUUAAUUUCCAUGCCCGUUCAAUCCUUGGCUUCU
This is an unclassified non-coding RNA of Anser brachyrhynchus (Pink-footed goose), 169 nucleotides long. The record is from Ensembl. Lineage: Eukaryota; Metazoa; Chordata; Aves; Anseriformes; Anatidae.